CGUCUGAAUCUAUAGCUCCAGAGAAAAUAGAGAAAGCGGUUUCCAUUUCUUACACUCUUGGCUCCUGCAGGCUUCCAUCAUUGCCGCUGCUGCUGUCACCACUACUACCACUGCAGGGUUGCCUAGAAGCCGAUGAUCACUGUAAAGUUCCCCAAUGAAUUAAGUUUGGGCCAGGAGAUACUAAAGGAUACAAAAAUGGCAGACUCACUGCUGUUCUGGAGAACGUUCUCUGCAGUCUCCUCUUCAAAUACGGCUCUUGGCUAUGCUUGUGAAUUUUGUGAAUAUACAAUUAUUUCAAAUUAAAUACUAACUGAAUGUGGCUAUAUUGUGUUUAUACAUGUACAGAAAAACACGGUGAUUGAUUAUAUUGUUAAAUUGUCA
Molecule: long non-coding RNA, 381 nt
Filed under: Homo sapiens (human)
Lineage: Eukaryota; Metazoa; Chordata; Mammalia; Primates; Hominidae
Description: non-protein coding lnc-ZSWIM2-7:2
Source: RNAcentral